UAACAUAAGUAACCUGCCCUAGACAGGGGGAUAACUAUUGGAAACGAUAGCUAAGACCGCAUAGGUGCGGACACUGCAUGGUGACCGUAUUAAAAGUGCCUCAAAGCACUGGUAGAGGAUGGACUUAUGGCGCAUUAGCUGGUUGGCGGGGUAACGGCCCACCAAGGCGACGAUGCGUAGCCGACCUGAGAGGGUGACCGGCCACACUGGGACUGAGACACGGCCCAG
RNAcentral lists this ribosomal RNA (228 nucleotides) under uncultured bacterium. RNAcentral describes it as "partial 16S ribosomal RNA". It matches the Rfam family "Bacterial small subunit ribosomal RNA", at positions 113 to 334 of the family's 1533-position model. The record is from RNAcentral.